UAAAACGUAGGUGACUAGCGUUAUCCGGAUUUACUGGGCGUAAAGCGCGUGCAGGCGGCUCGGCGAGUCGGGCAUGAAAUCUCCUGGCCUAACUGGGAGACGCUGUCCGAUACUGCCGGGCUUGAGGGCAGUAGAGGGUGGUGGAAUUCCGCAUGUAGUGGUGAAAUGCGUAGAUAUGCGGAGGAACACCAGUGGCGAAGGCGGCCACCUGGACUGCACCUGACGCUGAAGCGCGAAAGCUAGGGGAGCGAACGGG
This 256-nucleotide ribosomal RNA is filed under the name uncultured bacterium. RNAcentral describes it as "partial 16S ribosomal RNA". It matches the Rfam family "Bacterial small subunit ribosomal RNA", at positions 521 to 776 of the family's 1533-position model. The record is from RNAcentral.